AAAUUGAAGAGUUUGAUCAUGGCUCAGAUUGAACGCUGGCGGCAGGCCUAACACAUGCAAGUCGAACGGUAACAGGAAGCAGCUUGCUGCUUUGCUGACGAGUGGCGGACGGGUGAGUAAUGUCUGGGAAACUGCCUGAUGGAGGGGGAUAACUACUGGAAACGGUGGCUAAUACCGCAUAACGUCGCAAGACCAAAGAGGGGGACCUUCGGGCCUCUUGCCAUCAGAUGUGCCCAGAUGGGAUUAGCUAGUUGGUGAGGUAACGGCUCACCAAGGCGACGAUCCCUAGCUGGUCUGAGAGGAUGACCAGCCACACUGGAACUGAGACACGGUCCAGACUCCUACGGGAGGCAGCAGUGGGGAAUAUUGCACAAUGGGCGCAAGCCUGAUGCAGCCAUGCCGCGUGUAUGAAGAAGGCCUUCGGGUUGUAAAGUACUUUCAGCGGGGAGGAAGGUGUUGUGGUUAAUAACCGCAGCAAUUGACGUUACCCGCAGAAGAAGCACCGGCUAACUCCGUGCCAGCAGCCGCGGUAAUACGGAGGGUGCAAGCGUUAAUCGGAAUUACUGGGCGUAAAGCGCACGCAGGCGGUCUGUCAAGUCGGAUGUGAAAUCCCCGGGCUCAACCUGGGAACUGCAUUCGAAACUGGCAGGCUUGAGUCUUGUAGAGGGGGGUAGAAUUCCAGGUGUAGCGGUGAAAUGCGUAGAGAUCUGGAGGAAUACCGGUGGCGAAGGCGGCCCCCUGGACAAAGACUGACGCUCAGGUGCGAAAGCGUGGGGAGCAAACAGGAUUAGAUACCCUGGUAGUCCACGCCGUAAACGAUGUCUACUUGGAGGUUGUGCCCUUGAGGCGUGGCUUCCGGAGCUAACGCGUUAAGUAGACCGCCUGGGGAGUACGGCCGCAAGGUUAAAACUCAAAUGAAUUGACGGGGGCCCGCACAAGCGGUGGAGCAUGUGGUUUAAUUCGAUGCAACGCGAAGAACCUUACCUGGUCUUGACAUCCACGGAAGUUUUCAGAGAUGAGAAUGUGCCUUCGGGAACCGUGAGACAGGUGCUGCAUGGCUGUCGUCAG
This 1068-nucleotide ribosomal RNA is filed under the name Salmonella enterica subsp. enterica serovar Bovismorbificans. Its description in RNAcentral is "partial 16S ribosomal RNA". It matches the Rfam family "Bacterial small subunit ribosomal RNA", at positions 1 to 1058 of the family's 1533-position model. RNAcentral also lists the same sequence under 1 other name. The record is from RNAcentral. Lineage: Bacteria; Pseudomonadati; Pseudomonadota; Gammaproteobacteria; Enterobacterales; Enterobacteriaceae.